UAAAUAGGCGGGCCUUGAUCCCACAAAAACUAGUUA
This 36-nucleotide transfer RNA is filed under the name Anolis garmani. Its description in RNAcentral is "partial tRNA-Asn". Lineage: Eukaryota; Metazoa; Chordata; Lepidosauria; Squamata; Anolidae. The record is from RNAcentral.